This is a small nucleolar RNA of Sorex araneus (European shrew), 130 nucleotides long. RefSeq annotates it as small nucleolar RNA SNORA24. Lineage: Eukaryota; Metazoa; Chordata; Mammalia; Eulipotyphla; Soricidae. The transcript has a single exon. The record is from RefSeq and is a predicted model, not a curated record.
CUCCAUGUGUCUUUGGGACCUGCCGCCCGUGGCAGCCUCCCUUCCUAGCCAUGGAAGAGCAACCCUUGUUGAUUGGCAAAGCUGGCACCGCGCCGUUGGUGCCAGGUUCUGACUUGCACGAGGGACAGGC